UACGGAAGGCAGCAGUGGGGAAUAUUGCACAAUGGGCGCAAGCCUGAUGCAGCCAUGCCGCGUGUAUGAAAAAGGCCUUCGGGUUGUAAAGUACUUUCAGUCGUGAGGAAGGUGUUAAGGUUAAUAACCUUAGCAAUUGACGUUAGCGACAGAAGAAGCACCGGCUAACUCCGUGCCAGCAGCCGCGGUAAUACGGAGGGUGCGAGCGUUAAUCGGAAUUACUGGGCGUAAAGGGCACGCAGGCGGUUAAUUAAGUUGGAUGUGAAAUCCCCGGGCUUAACCUGGGAAUGGCAUUCAAGACUGGUUAGCUAGAGUCUUGUAGAGGGGGUAGAAUUCCAUGUGUAGCGGUGAAAUGCGUAGAGAUGUGGAGGAAUACCGGUGGCGAAAGGCGGGCCCCCUGGACAAAGGACUGACGCUCAUGUGCCGAAAAGCGUGGGGAGCAAAAC
This 446-nucleotide ribosomal RNA is filed under the name uncultured bacterium. RNAcentral describes it as "bacterial SSU rRNA". It matches the Rfam family "Bacterial small subunit ribosomal RNA", at positions 340 to 774 of the family's 1533-position model. The record is from RNAcentral.